This is a long non-coding RNA of Rhopalosiphum padi (bird cherry-oat aphid), 1663 nucleotides long. RefSeq lists it as uncharacterized. The record is from RefSeq and is a predicted model, not a curated record. Lineage: Eukaryota; Metazoa; Arthropoda; Insecta; Hemiptera; Aphididae. The transcript is spliced from 8 exons.
GUAGACGUACAUUCAGUUACAGCCUACAGUGUGGUCAGUGUUCUGUUCGCUACGCCAUUUGAACGUGUUGUCAACAGUCUUUGCCGCAGUUUUAGCAUUUCGAAGGUCCAUACAAGCGACACUGUGUUUCUGCGAUCGGCCACCGUCGGAAUUUUACUUCGCUGUCUUGUAAACCAGUCGAACCGAUUUCCACAAUCAUUUGAGUUUUGAACACGAUUCAACGUCGACGUACAUUCAGUUACAGCCUACAGUGUGGUCAGUGUUCUGUUCGCUACGCCAUUUGAACGUGUUGUCAACAGUCUUUGCCGCAGUUUUAGCAUUUCGAAGGUCCAUACAAGCGACACUGUGUUUCUGCGAUCGGCCACCGUCGGAAUUUUACUUCGCUGUCUUGUAAACCAGUCGAACCGAUUUCCACAAUCAUUUGAGUUUUGAACACGAUUCAACGUCGACGUACAUUCAGUUACAGCCUACAGUGUGGUCAGUGUUCUGUUCGCUACGCCAUUUGAACGUGUUGUCAACAGUCUUUGCCGCAGUUUUAGCAUUUCGAAGGUCCAUACAAGCGACACUGUGUUUCUGCGAUCGGCCACCGUCGGAAUUUUACUUCGCUGUCUUGUAAACCAGUCGAACCGAUUUCCACAAUCAUUUGAGUUUUGAACACGAUUCAACGUCGACGUACAUUCAGUUACAGCCUACAGUGUGGUCAGUGUUCUGUUCGCUACGCCAUUUGAACGUGUUGUCAACAGUCUUUGCCGCAGUUUUAGCAUUUCGAAGGUCCAUACAAGCGACACUGUGUUUCUGCGAUCGGCCACCGUCGGAAUUUUACUUCGCUGUCUUGUAAACCAGUCGAACCGAUUUCCACAAUCAUUUGAGUUUUGAACACGAUUCAACGUCGACGUACAUUCAGUUACAGCCUACAGUGUGGUCAGUGUUCUGUUCGCUACGCCAUUUGAACGUGUUGUCAACAGUCUUUGCCGCAGUUUUAGCAUUUCGAAGGUCCAUACAAGCGACACUGUGUUUCUGCGAUCGGCCACCGUCGGAAUUUUACUUCGCUGUCUUGUAAACUAGUCGAACCGAUUUCCACAAUCAUUUAAGUUUUGAACAUGAUUCAACGUCGACGUACAUUUAGUUACAGCCUACAGUGUGGUCAGUGUUCUGUUCGCUACGCCAUUUGAACGUGUUGUCAACAGUCUUUGCCGCAGUUUUAGCAUUUCGAAGGUCCAUACAAGCGACACUGUGUUUCUGCGAUCGGCCACCGUCGGAAUUUUACUUCGCUGUCUUGUAAACCAGUCGAACCGAUUUCCACAAUCAUUUGAGUUUUGAACACGAUUCAACGUCGACGUACAUUCAGUUACAGCCUACAGUGUGGUCAGUGUUCUGUUCGCUACGCCAUUUGAACGUGUUGUCAACAGUCUUUGCCGCAGUUUUAGCAUUUCGAAGGUCCAUACAAGCGACACUGUGUUUCUGCGAUCGGCCACCGUCGGAAUUUUACUUCGCUGUCUUGUAAACUAGUCGAACCGAUUUCCACAAUCAUUUAAGUUUUGAACAUGAUUCAACGUCGACGUACAUUUAGUUACAGCCUACAGUGUGGUCAGUGUUCUGUUCGCUACGCCAUUUGAACGUGUUGUCAACAGUCUUUGCCGCAGUUUUAGCAUUUCGAAGGUCC